RNAcentral lists this unclassified non-coding RNA (329 nucleotides) under soil metagenome. RNAcentral's name for it is "partial contains 5.8S ribosomal RNA, internal transcribed spacer 2, and large subunit ribosomal RNA". The stretch from base 1 to 120 matches the Rfam family "5.8S ribosomal RNA", at positions 35 to 154 of the family's 154-position model. The record is from RNAcentral.
GAUGAAGAACGUAGCGAAAUGCGAUAAGUAAUGUGAAUUGCAGAAUUCCGUGAAUCAUCGAAUCUUUGAACGCACAUUGCGCCCUCUGGUAUUCCGGGGGGCAUGCCUGUUCGAGCGUCAUUAUAACCACUCAAGCUCUCGCUUGGUAUUGGGGUUCGCGGUUCCGCGGCCCCUAAAAUCAGUGGCGGUGCCUGUCGGCUCUACGCGUAGUAAUACUCCUCGCGAUUGAGUCCGGUAGGUCUACUUGCCAGCAACCCCCAAUUUUUACAGGUUGACCUCGGAUCAGGUAGGGAUACCCGCUGAACUUAAGCAUAUCAAUAAGCGGAGGA